GAUGAAGAACGUAGUGAAAUGCGAUACGUAAUGUGAAUUGCAGAAUUCAGUGAAUCAUCGAGUCUUUGAACGCACAUUGCGCCCCCUGGUAUUCCGGGGGGCAUGCCUGUCCGAGCGUCAUUGCUGCCCUCAAGCACGGCUUGUGUGUUGGGCCUCCGUCCUCCUCCCCGGGGACGGGCCCGAAAGGCAGCGGCGGCACCGCGUCCGGUCCUCGAGCGUAUGGGGCUUCGUCACCCGCUCUUGUAGGCCCGGCCGGCGCUUGCCGACACAUCAAUCUUUUUUCCAGGUUGACCUCGGAUCAGGUAGGGAUACCCGCUGAACUUAAGCAUAUCAAUAAGCGGAGGA
Molecule: unclassified non-coding RNA, 345 nt
Filed under: soil metagenome
Description: partial contains 5.8S ribosomal RNA, internal transcribed spacer 2, and large subunit ribosomal RNA
Rfam family: 5.8S ribosomal RNA (bases 1-120)
Source: RNAcentral